UAUAAAUAAGGUUGGGAAUGUGGCUCAGAGGUUGAGUGCCCAUGAAUUCAAUUUCUGGUACACCCCUCAAAAAAAAAGUGAAUAUGAACAGAAACCUGGAGAUGUAGGAAUUCAUUCUGAGACUGAAGGGCUGCCAUAUUAAUAUAUUUAUAGAUCUAAUUUUCAACCAAAAAUAUCAAAAAGUUGUACGAAGAAACUGGACAUGUGGUACAUUCAAAGUCUGAAUAAACAAUAAACCAAUAGAAUCCAUCUCUCAGGAAUGGCACUCCCCAAUCAUAAAAUAUUCCUGCUGCAGCCCCGAAACAUGAUAGCAACCACAUGGCUUGUACUUUAAAGAUGGGGGCGUGGUUUGUAUGUGAUUUUAUGGCAGCAUUAAGGCACAUAAGGAUUUUAAAUGUUCCAGGACAAUAGUGGCCCAAACAAAGAACAUUUUUUUGUUUUUUAGUGUCGUUUUACUUUUGAAAGAAAAUGAUGGGCUUUGUUCAAAGAUAAUUCUCUUCAUUUCCCAUGUAUGCAAACAUAGGAGAAUGAAUUUGCUGUUUUUGUUAUGGACUGUUGGUUCAAGGUGGUUUAUGCUAAUGAAGAGCCUUGGAUAACAUCAACUUUAAGAAAACAUUUUAGUGCAGAGGGAUUUGAGACUUCAGCAAGGGAAGAACAACACCCAACACAUCAAAGGUUUUGGAGAUCCAAGGAAAAUACUGUGCCUGAAGUCUUCAACCUACAUGGAGAGAGGCCCUUAAAGCCAAUUGUACAGACUUCAAAAGAGAAGUGAUGGAUGGGCCAUUGAGGGGUUUCAUUAAUCAUUCCAUGCUUCAUCCAUGAUGAAUAUUGAUUGCCAACAUCCUGGAUAAUUCUUUUCUGAAAUACAUCAUCAUGACUUAAAGCUAAAGCCAACUCUAAACUUGCCCCCCCCACCUUUUUUUUAACCGUAGAUUGAACUCAGGGGUACUUAGCCUCUGAACAACACACCAAACUCUAUUUUGUAUUUUACUUAAACAGUGUCUCACUGAGUUUCUUGGGGCCUCACUGAGUUGCUGAGCCUGUGUUCAAAUUCAUGAUCCUUCUGCCUCAGCCUCCUGAGUUGUGGGGAUUACAGGUGUGAACCACUGUGCCCAGGAAAUUUGUUGCAUUCUUAUGACCAUGUCACAGUCAUUGUGCCCUGUAAUGUAUCACUGCCUUAUCUCCAGAUUGUGCUUGUAGGAUUGGUAAAAGGUCUAGGUUCUGUGUGUUCAUAUUGACAUUGGGACAGCUGUGCCCCAAACUUUAUUGUUUAAAAAUACAGAAUAAGAAUGUAGAUCAAAGUGAAAUAAAAUAUGAUGUGAGGAAGCUGAAAUCAGAAUCAUGGAGGGAGUAUGGAAUUGGGACCUCCUACUCAAGAGGCAAGAGUCUUCUCAUCUCACUUGAAUAUAGCAGAAAGGCUUGUGUAUUAGCCUGUUGUCUUCUUCUAUGACAAAACCCAGGAGACUGGGUACUUUACAGAAAGAAGAACAUUAUUUCAUAGUUUUGAGCCCUCACAAGUAUGCCACCCACAUGGGCUCAAUUCCUGAGUGGCCCUGUGCUGUCAUAAGGGGGUGACUGGCAUCAUUGUAGAAAUGUAUGUGAGAGAAAUCACAUGUGAGUUUGGAAGGUAAAGAGUAGACUAGGGGAAGUUCUGUCUUUUAUAACACCCCUUUCAGAAUUAGCCAGGGGCCCAAAAGAAUUAUCUUGAUCACUUCAAUUGGCAAACUUCUCAAAGGCCUGUCACCUCCAACAGGCCUUGCCUCGUAAGGGCCCCAUCACCUCUUAACACUGCAACACUGGACAUCAGGCUUCCAAUAGAAAAACCUUGGGAGACACACCACAUCCAAUGGGAAGGUAAUGCAUUUCUAUAACAGGGUCAACACUUUCAAAAUUUUAUGAAAAUGGACAUAAAGGCAUAGGCAGCAGUGAACUCAACCCAGAAAAGAAAGAACUAGAAAUUCCUUUGCAGAAAACCUAAAGACCAACCUCAGCAUAGACUAAAUUUGCUUCAUACAACUAUUUCUGAUAAACAUAGCAUACUGGUACUCAGGAGAAUGGGAAGUCACUAGACAAAUGCAGGGGGAGAAAUAAGGUUGUAGGUUUAGACUGCAAACAGGGGACAACAUACCCAGGCAGAAACCAUGGAGAAACUUUCUUGUGAUAGAAAGUCUUGUGACAGCUUAAUCCCAGCUCUGGGAUUUGAGUGCUUCUUCAAACAUUCCUACUAUUAGAGAUUUCUCUCCCUAUGCAUUUUUUUAUUCCUUUACUCAGGUCACAUAUGACUCCCUGGGCAUCUGGAGCUGCCUAGGGUAAUGCUGAAACAUUCACAUUUUGGGAACAUUCAAGUUGGCACAUAAACUUGGGAAGACUUGACUUUCCUGGAGACAUCAAUUUCGUAGAAAUUGGCUCCACAUGAAAUCCAUAUAAAAAUCUACCUACCCAUGGCUGUAGGUAAAAACAUACCAAAUAGUAAAUACUCAGGGUGAACAAUUCAGAAAAUCUUGUAUAUGAUAUAUUGACUAUGUUAAAGGUACUGUAUUCCAGUUAGGAGUUUUGUUGCAUGAUUAGAUCAUGACUGUUCUUGACAUGGGGGAAUAUAUGUAUCUAUGUGAGAUAAGAGAUAAAUAAGUUUGUUCAAUUCUAGUGACAAUUUCACUCAAUCUUAUGGUAUUGUUUUUGUCUACCUUAAAAUGCACAGUAAAAUUUGUUUUCAAAAAUUUGGUCAAGUACUUGAGUAGAUAUAUUUUCAGACAAAGUGCUCAGUAGAUACAUUAAAUAUGCUCAUAGUGACUAAUCAGUAAAAUGCUAAAAAAUAUGAAGAGAUAUUACCUCACCGUUUUGGGAGGGUUAAUAUUAAAAAUAUUAACCAGAGAUAAAAAGUAUUGGCAGUAAUAUGGAGCAAAGAGAACCUUGGGCAGAUUAUUUGGGAGAUUGUGUAAAUCGGCACACCCACCAUGGAAAAACUGCAUAAAGGUGCCUUGGAAAAUUGAGAGUAAAACUUACAUGUGAUACAGCAAUCCCCCUACCUGGAAUGCAUCUGAAAGAAAAUAAUUUAUCUCUCACAGAAACAUCUGUAUCUCCAUUUUUCUUGCAAUACUGUUCACAAGAAGCAAGACAGAAGCAAGGAAAGACAGUGUCCACCAGUGGAUGACUGUGUGUAGGUGAUGUGGAAUGUCCACUAACGUUCAAUGGAAUGUUAUUGAGCCUUCUAAAUAGGUAAAAUUUGUCCCUGUGCUGAUGUAAGUGAACACUGAGGAUAGUAUUGUGACAUAAAUCAGACAAGAUUACAGUUUGAUAUCUCUUAUGUGACAUCUAAUAGGUCAACUUCAUAGAAAUAGAGUGGAAUGGUGGUUGUAAAGAGGUGGGUAGUGAGAGACACAAGGAGGUUGUUUAAAGUGCACAAAAUUCCAUUCUAACAUCAACAAGGAUUUGCUGUAUAAUGUGGAGAAUGAAGUUAAUAAUACAUUUUUGUAUACUUGAUAUUUGCUUUAAGAUCUUAAAUAUCCUCACCGCACAUACAUCUUAAGUGAUAGAUAUGUUAAUUAAGAGGCUCUGGUAAGCAGUUUACAAUAUCUACUUAUGUAAGAUCCAUGUGUUGUACACCAUGUAUGUGUACAAAUGUAUUUGUCAGUCACACCUCAGCAGAGCAGGACUGAGUCUGCACAUACCCUGUUUUUCAGGCACGCUUGGUUCUUCAUUCUGAGCUGCAGCCUUCAUACUGAACUUCCACCCAUCCCUCACAGCCAUGAAGACAUUCCACAUCCCAACUCCCACAUGCACAACUAUGUCCUGAUAUUUAAUGUUCAUUCUUCUGUGGUGCCUAUCCUAGGGACCUCAGGACAGUCAUUCUUCCUCUCAUUACCCCAAGACCCAUCAUUAGUGCUCUUCCUUCUCUUUUAUUUGCUUUCAAUUCCAUUACCUCUGACCAUCCCCUGAGCUCCUGGGUCCCACACAACCAAAUGUCCAAGAUCAACUCUCAGGUAUUCUCAACACACAGUUCAAACUCCAAACUGAUUGCCACCAACCCCAACAUCCUCCACCUUUCUUCNCAG
This 4052-nucleotide long non-coding RNA is filed under the name Marmota monax (woodchuck). The record is from RNAcentral. Lineage: Eukaryota; Metazoa; Chordata; Mammalia; Rodentia; Sciuridae.